Molecule: ribosomal RNA, 162 nt
Filed under: Coriandrum sativum (coriander)
Lineage: Eukaryota; Viridiplantae; Streptophyta; Magnoliopsida; Apiales; Apiaceae
Also listed under: 5 other names
Description: 5.8S ribosomal RNA
Rfam family: 5.8S ribosomal RNA
About the family: 5.8S ribosomal RNA (5.8S rRNA) is a component of the large subunit of the eukaryotic ribosome. It is transcribed by RNA polymerase I as part of the 45S precursor that also contains 18S and 28S rRNA.
Source: RNAcentral
AACGACUCUCGACAACGGAUAUCUCGGCUCUCGCAUCGAUGAAGAACGUAGCGAAAUGCGAUACUUGGUGUGAAUUGCAGAAUCCCGUGAACCAUCGAGUCUUUGAACGCAAGUUGCGCCCGAAGCCACUAGGCCGAGGGCACGUCUGCCUGGGUGUCACGC